This 253-nucleotide ribosomal RNA is filed under the name uncultured bacterium. RNAcentral describes it as "partial 16S ribosomal RNA". It matches the Rfam family "Bacterial small subunit ribosomal RNA", at positions 524 to 776 of the family's 1533-position model. The record is from RNAcentral.
UACAGAGGGUGCAAGCGUUACUCGGAAUUACUGGGCGUAAAGCGUGCGCAGACGGUUGCGUAAGUCAGAUGUGAAAUCCCCGGGCUCAACCUGGGAACUGCAUUUGUGACUGCAUCGCUGGAGUACGGCAGAGGGGGAUGGAAUUCCGCGUGUAGCAGUGAAAUGCGUAGAUAUGCGGAGGAACACCGAUGGCGAAGGCAAUCCCCUGGGCCUGUACUGACGCUCAUGCACGAAAGCGUGGGGAGCAAACAGG